RNAcentral lists this ribosomal RNA (468 nucleotides) under uncultured bacterium. RNAcentral's name for it is "partial 16S ribosomal RNA". It matches the Rfam family "Bacterial small subunit ribosomal RNA", at positions 28 to 507 of the family's 1533-position model. The record is from RNAcentral.
GACGAACGCUGGCGGCGUGCUUAACACAUGCAAGUCGAACGGAAAGGCCCUGCUUUUGUGGGGUGCUCGAGUGGCGAACGGGUGAGUAACACGUGAGUAACCUGCCCUUGACUUUGGGAUAACUUCAGGAAACUGGGGCUAAUACCGGAUAGGAGCUCCUGCUGCAUGGUGGGGGUUGGAAAGUUUCGGCGGUUGGGGAUGGACUCGCGGCUUAUCAGCUUGUUGGUGGGGUAGUGGCUUACCAAGGCUUUGACGGGUAGCCGGCCUGAGAGGGUGACCGGCCACAUUGGGACUGAGAUACGGUCCAGACUCCUACGGGAGGCAGCAGUGGGGAAUAUUGCACAAUGGGCGGAAGCCUGAUGCAGCAACGCCGCGUGCGGGAUGACGGCCUUCGGGUUGUAAACCGCUUUCGCCUGUGACGAAGCGUGAGUGACGGUAAUGUGUAAAGAAGCACCGGCUAACUACGUG